This 305-nucleotide ribosomal RNA is filed under the name uncultured bacterium. RNAcentral describes it as "bacterial SSU rRNA". It matches the Rfam family "Bacterial small subunit ribosomal RNA", at positions 333 to 654 of the family's 1533-position model. The record is from RNAcentral.
AUCGACCUACGGGGGGCAGCAGUGGGGAAUAUUGCACAAUGGGGGAAACCCUGAUGCAGCAACGCCGCGUGAGUGAGGAAGUAUUUCGGUAUGUAAAGCUCUAUCAGCAGGGAAUAGAAAAGAAGGUACCUGAAAAAGAAGCCCCGGCUAACUACGUGCCAGCAGCCGCGGUAAUACGUAGGGGGCAAGCGUUAUCCGGAUUUACUGGGUGUAAAGGGAGCGUAGGCGGUGAUGCAAGUCAGAAGUGAAAGCCCGCAGCUCAACUGCGGGACUGCUUUUGAAACUGUAUGACUAGAUUGCAGGAG